GGGCAGUUAGCUCAGUUGGUUCAGAGCACUACGUUGACAUCGUAGAGGUCACUGGUUCGAGCCCAGUACUGCUCA
Molecule: transfer RNA, 75 nt
Filed under: Chryseobacterium sp.
Lineage: Bacteria; Pseudomonadati; Bacteroidota; Flavobacteriia; Flavobacteriales; Weeksellaceae
Also listed under: 2 other names
Description: tRNA-Val
Rfam family: tRNA
About the family: Transfer RNA (tRNA) molecules are approximately 80 nucleotides in length.
Source: RNAcentral